Molecule: ribosomal RNA, 201 nt
Filed under: uncultured bacterium
Lineage: Bacteria
Description: partial 16S ribosomal RNA
Rfam family: Bacterial small subunit ribosomal RNA
Source: RNAcentral
GUAGUCUGCAACCCGACUACAUGAAGCUGGAAUCGCUAGUAAUCGCGAAUCAGAAUGUCGCGGUGAAUACGUUCCCGGGUCUUGUACACACCGCCCGUCACACCAUGGGAGUUGGAAAUGCCCGAAGUCAGUGACCCAACCGCAAGGAGGGAGCUGCCGAAGGCAGGUCCGGUAACUGGGGUGAAGUCGUAACAAGGUACC